Molecule: ribosomal RNA, 439 nt
Filed under: uncultured bacterium
Lineage: Bacteria
Description: partial 16S ribosomal RNA
Rfam family: Bacterial small subunit ribosomal RNA
Source: RNAcentral
CCUACGGGAGACAGCAGUGGGGAAUAUUGCACAAUGGGCGCAACUCUGAUGCAGCAACGCCGCGUGAGUGAUGAAGGCCUUCGGGUCGUAAAGCUCUGUCCUCAAGGAAGAUAAUGAUGGCACUUGCGCAGGAAGCCGCGGCUAACUACGUGCAAGCAGCCGCGGUAAUACGUCGGGGGCUAGCGUCAUCCGGAAUUAUGGGGCGUAAGGGGUGGGGGGGUGGUUACUUAAUUCAGAGGGGAAAGGCUACGGCCAAACCGUAGUAAGCCUUUGAAACUGGGGAACUUGAGUGCAGGAGAGGUAAGUGGAAUUCCUAGUGUAGCGGUGGAAUGCGUAGAUAUUAGGAGGAACACCAGUGGCGAAGGCGGCUCUCUGGACUGUAACUGACACUGAGGCACGAAAGCGUGGGGAGCAAACAGGAUUAGAUACCCUAGUAGUC